AGUGAACGCUGGCGGUAGGCCUAACACAUGCAAGUCGAACGGCAGCACAGUAAGAGCUUGCUCUUACGGGUGGCGAGUCGCGGACGGGUGAGGAAUACAUCGGAAUCUACUUUUUCGUGGGGGAUAACGUAGGGAAACUUACGCUAAUACCGCAUACGACCUACGGGUGAAAGUAGGGGAUCUUCGGACCUUGCGCGAUUGAAUGAGCCGAUGUCGGAUUAGCUAGUUGGCGGGGUAAAGGCCCACCAAGGCGACGAUCCGUAGCUGGUCUGAGAGGAUGAUCAGCCACACUGGAACUGAGACACGGUCCAGACUCCUACGGGAGGCAGCAGUGGGGAAUAUUGGACAAUGGGCGCAAGCCUGAUCCAGCCAUACCGCGUGGGUGAAGAAGGCCUUCGGGUUGUAAAGCCCUUUUGUUGGGAAAGAAAAGCAGCAGGUUAAUACCCCGCUGUUCUGACAGUACCCAAAGAAUAAGCACCGGCUAACUUCGUG
This 492-nucleotide ribosomal RNA is filed under the name uncultured bacterium. RNAcentral's name for it is "partial 16S ribosomal RNA". It matches the Rfam family "Bacterial small subunit ribosomal RNA", at positions 29 to 507 of the family's 1533-position model. The record is from RNAcentral.